Long non-coding RNA from Daphnia carinata, 1066 nucleotides. RefSeq lists it as uncharacterized. NCBI's taxonomy places the organism in Eukaryota, Metazoa, Arthropoda, Branchiopoda, Diplostraca, Daphniidae. The transcript is spliced from 2 exons. The record is from RefSeq and is a predicted model, not a curated record.
UCCCGCAUUCCUUUCGACUCCGACGUUGUCAUACACAGGACUGCACAAAUCACCUCCGUGUCUAAUCUCGUUAGCACUCCCCCCACCCCACCUUCUUUUUUUCCUUCUUGUCUGGCUUGUCCCUUUGCUUUUUUCCUCCCAACUAACUGCGCUUUUCGUGCAAGCCCAUCUAAGCGUGUAUCGUCCUCCAAACUUCCUGACACUGUAUAACAGUCGCAUCAAAGCUUAAGAGAACGCACCCACUCAGCAAUUUUUCUUCGUUUUUUCUUUAUAUCGCCUGAAGCAAAAGUUAUUGCACGAAUAUCAGAAAACUUCAGGCUUUUCUUCCCACUUGGCCAUGCAUGUAAGAAAAACGGCUAGAAUAUUCCUCCCUUCUUUUACAAGCUCUCUCUCUCUCUUUUCUAACAGCGUUGCAUACAGUAAGUCCAUCAUGGUAUGAGAGACACAAAAGAGGAUUUUCGACGCAAAGGGAAAUGUGUCCACGAUAGAUUAGACGGCUAUUGAAUGAUCUAGAGGCGACGAUUCGGAAUGCUGCUGGUGCCCUUGUUUAACGUUGUUGCCGCCGUCGGGAGGCUGAGGUGGGCCGCCGUUUCUGCUGGCUUUGGGCCGGUGAACGAUGCCAGUGCGGCCGAUAUCCGACAGCGUCGAUUCCGGUGUCACGAAUGGCUUAGUCGUCCAACUAGCAGACGAAACGCUCAUCUGAUCCUUGGGAUUAUACUGCAGACCGCUCCAUAGAUUGGACUGAUCCACCAGUCGCAGUAGAGGCACAGACUUUUUUGGCACUGGAUGACUUGCAUCGUUUAGAAAACAAAACAAAAACAAAACAAAAAGAAUUAUUUUUUGUAAGAUUAUUAUUUCGCUAACGUGAUGAAUUUUUAUACCUAGGUCUUUGAUGUUGUUUGUCCAGCAAUCCACCACGUUGCGAUAGCUCUCCGGUAAUUGGUGAGAAUUCCGUAGAAGACGAGUAAUACGAAGCCUCUUUGCUGAUGGCGCCUGUUUAUUUGAUUUUUGUCACGAGAUGGUUAUCUUUUGGCCGAUCAUACACACACGCUUGUCAGAGACGAAA